AAUGAGGUGCCUGAAAAAAAAGGAUUAUCUUGAUAGGGUAAAUUAUGUAAUUAUAUUACUCUCAUUA
This 67-nucleotide transfer RNA is filed under the name Hydroporus analis. Its description in RNAcentral is "tRNA-Ile". The record is from RNAcentral. Lineage: Eukaryota; Metazoa; Arthropoda; Insecta; Coleoptera; Dytiscidae.